CGCGUAGGUGGUUUGUUAAGUUGGAUGUGAAAUCCCCGGGCUCAACCUGGGAACUGCAUUCAAAACUGACAAGCUAGAGUAUGGUAGAGGGUGGUGGAAUUUCCUGUGUAGCGGUGAAAUGCGUAGAUAUAGGAAGGAACACCAGUGGCGAAGGCGACCACCUGGACUGAUACUGACACUGAGGUGCGAAAGCGUGGGGAGCAAACA
Molecule: ribosomal RNA, 207 nt
Filed under: uncultured bacterium
Lineage: Bacteria
Description: partial 16S ribosomal RNA
Rfam family: Bacterial small subunit ribosomal RNA
Source: RNAcentral